UACGUAGGGGGCAAGCGUUGUCCGGAUUUAUUGGGCGUAAAGAGUGUGUAGGCGGUUUGGUAGGUCCGCUGUGAAAACUCGAGGCUCAACCUCGAGACGCCGGUGGAAACCAUCAGGCUAGAGUCCGGAAGAGGAGAGUGGAAUUCCUGGUGUAGCGGUGAAAUGCGCAGAUAUCAGGAAGAACACCCGUGGCUAAGGCGGCUCUCUAGUACGGUACUGACGCUGAGACGCGAAGCGUGGGAGCGAACAGG
RNAcentral lists this ribosomal RNA (251 nucleotides) under uncultured bacterium. RNAcentral describes it as "partial 16S ribosomal RNA". It matches the Rfam family "Bacterial small subunit ribosomal RNA", at positions 524 to 776 of the family's 1533-position model. The record is from RNAcentral.